Molecule: RNA transcript, 2061 nt
Organism: Gastrolobium bilobum
Lineage: Eukaryota; Viridiplantae; Streptophyta; Magnoliopsida; Fabales; Fabaceae
Exons: 4
Source: RefSeq, a predicted model, not a curated record
UAUAAAUCCUAUUAUGGUUAUAAGUUGUAAAUUGUAACACACUAAGACAACCAAAGAGUAAAAGUAGAAAGAGGAAAGGAAGUACAUAUAGUAACAUUACACAUUGGAAUUUUGUGCUAUCUAGCAACCAACAUUCCAAAGCUCAGUGUUCACUCUGGCAAAAAUGACAGAAGAACAACCAAUAAGAUUUGGAAUCCUCGGUUGUGCAGAGAUAGCUCGGAAAGUUUCAAGGGCUAUAACCCUUUCUCCAAACGCAACCCUUUACGCCGUUGGAAGUCGUUCCUUGGAAAAAGCUUCAAACUUCGCAGCUUCCAAUAACUUCCCUCCACAUGCCAAGGUCUAUGGUUCCUACGAAGCAGUUCUCGAUGACCCUGACGUUGACGCCGUUUAUGUGCCGCUUCCAACGAGCUUGCACCUUCACUGGGCAGUGCUCGCUGCUCAGAAGAAGAAGCACUUGUUGCUUGAAAAGCCUGUGGCUCUCAACGUUGGUGAACUUGACAAGAUUUUGGAAGCAUGUGAAUCCAAUGGUUUGCAGUACAUGGAUGGUACCAUGUGGAUGCACCACCCUAGGACCCUGAAAAUGUUUCAGUUUCUUUCAGAUCCCAACCAGUUUGGUCGCCUUCAAUCGGUACAUGCAAAUUUUUCUUAUGGUGUUACUCCUUAUUUUCUAGAGAAUGACAUUCGAGUGAAGCCAGACCUUGAUGUUCUUGGAACUCUUGGUGAUACUGGGUGGUAUUGUGUCAGAGCAAUCUUAUGGGCUGCAAACUACGAGUUACCUAAAACUGCGCGAACCUUACGCAAACCUACAUAUAAUAAAGCUGGCGUUAUUCUAGCUUGUGAGGCUUCUCUAUUGUGGGAUGAUGACAAAGUAGCAACCUUUUAUUGUUCCUUCUUAUCAGAUAUGUCAAUGGAUAUAACUGCAAUGGGAACAAAAGGGUCUUUGCGAGUUCAUGAUUAUGUUAUUCCUAACCAAGAGAAUGAGGCCUUAUUUUCCACAAGUUCAAAUUCUUACUUUGUGGAACUUGCUAAAGGUUGGGCUCCAAAACCAAUUGAACAUACAAUUCACACAGAUCUCCCUCAGGAGGCACUUAUGGUUAGGGAAUUUGCUCAUUUGGUCGGAGCAAUUAAGUUCAAGAACUCAAAACAUGAGAGUAAGUGGCCAACCAUUAGCAGGAAAACACAAGUGGUUAUAGAUGCUGUGAAGGCUUCAAUUGACAAUGGUCUUGAGCCUGUUCAAAUUCAGUAGUAGCUAAGUUGAGUUUGUUUGAAGUGGGGGGUUAUCAGUUAAUGUAGAAAUUAAGAAAGUAACUUAUCAGAACAGAGAUGUCUUAAUAAUUGUUAUGUUGAGGAGUGUUGUUCUUCACUUUCCAUCCAGGGUUUGUAUCUGAUGGGCCUUCAAUAAAUAUCCAAGCCCAUUAGUUAUCAUUAGUUAGGAUUAAUAUAUAUAGAUGUUUAGGGUGAGGUGUCUAUAUGCAUGUAUUCAGCGUAAUCGAAAUUGAGAAUUGGGAAAAGGAUCUCUACGGAUCUCUUAAGGCCGAGGUCUUUGGCUUUGAGGAGUGGCAGAGGUAUAUAUACAAAGGGCAGUUAUUUAUCUAACAUUUUGAAUGGGAGCUCUUCUUGCUGAACUGGAGAGCCUUUAAAGUUUAAAAGCUACACGGGACUGAAGCUGUUGGCAGUUCAAAGUUUAUCUCAAGCCCAAAGGUCAGCCCAAGAAGAAGAAAGGCAAGGGCAAAGUGAAAGGAAAGGAGAAAUCCAAGAACAAUGCUAAAACUAUAUGCUUCCAUUGUCAGAAGGAAGAACAUUGGAAGAGAAAUUUCCCAUUAUUCCUUGCGAGCCUCAAGGGAAAGAAUUAUGAUGAUGCUUCAGCCUCUGGUACUAAAGAGUCCUAGCAAGCUGGAGAAGAAUGAGGUCAAUCUCCGCGUCGGGAAUGGAGUAAGAGUUGUUGCACUAGCCGUUGGGUAUGUGGAUCUUUUGUUGCCUACGGGCCUUUCUAUACAUUUGAAUAAUUGUUUCUAUGUUCCGUCAAUUUUUCGAAUCAUUAUUUCUAUUUCUAGUUUGGAA